This 492-nucleotide ribosomal RNA is filed under the name uncultured bacterium. RNAcentral's name for it is "partial 16S ribosomal RNA". It matches the Rfam family "Bacterial small subunit ribosomal RNA", at positions 29 to 507 of the family's 1533-position model. The record is from RNAcentral.
AGUGAACGCUGGCGGUAGGCCUAACACAUGCAAGUCGAACGGCAGCACAGUAAGAGCUCGCUCUUACGGGUGGCGAGUGGCGGACGGGUGAGGAAUACAUCGGAAUCUACUUUUUCGUGGGUGAUAACGUAGGGAAACUUACGCUAAUACCGCAUACGACCUACGGGUGAAAGCAGGGGAUCUUCGGACCUUGCGCGAUUGAAUGAGCCGAUGUCGGAUUAGCUAGUUGGGGGGGUAAAGGCCCACCAAGGCGACGAUCCGUAGCAGGUCUGAGAGGAUGAUCAGCCACACUGGAACUGAGACACGGUCCAGACUCCUACGGGAGGCAGCAGUAGGGAAUAUUCGACAAUGGGCGCAAGCCUGACCCAGCCAUACCGCGUGGGUGAAGAAGGCCUUCGGGUUGUAAAGCCCUUUUGUUGGGAAAGAAAAGCAGCGGGUUAAUACCCCGAUGUUCUGACGGUACCCAAAGAAUAAGCACCGGCUAACUUCGUG